RNAcentral lists this ribosomal RNA (2932 nucleotides) under Escherichia coli. Its description in RNAcentral is "23S ribosomal RNA". It matches the Rfam family "Bacterial large subunit ribosomal RNA". Lineage: Bacteria; Pseudomonadati; Pseudomonadota; Gammaproteobacteria; Enterobacterales; Enterobacteriaceae. RNAcentral also lists the same sequence under 1 other name. The record is from RNAcentral.
GGGUUGUGAGGUUAAGCGACUAAGCGUACACGGUGGAUGCCCUGGCAGUCAGAGGCGAUGAAGGACGUGCUAAUCUGCGAUAAGCGUCGGUAAGGUGAUAUGAACCGUUAUAACCGGCGAUUUCCGAAUGGGGAAACCCAGUGUGAUUCGUCACACUAUCAUUAACUGAAUCCAUAGGUUAAUGAGGCGAACCGGGGGAACUGAAACAUCUAAGUACCCCGAGGAAAAGAAAUCAACCGAGAUUCCCCCAGUAGCGGCGAGCGAACGGGGAGCAGCCCAGAGCCUGAAUCAGUGUGUGUGUUAGUGGAAGCGUCUGGAAAGGCGUGCGAUACAGGGUGACAGCCCCGUACACAAAAAUGCACAUACUGUGAGCUCGAUGAGUAGGGCGGGACACGUGGUAUCCUGUCUGAAUAUGGGGGGACCAUCCUCCAAGGCUAAAUACUCCUGACUGACCGAUAGUGAACCAGUACCGUGAGGGAAAGGCGAAAAGAACCCCGGCGAGGGGAGUGAAAAAGAACCUGAAACCGUGUACGUACAAGCAGUGGGAGCACAGAGCAAUCUGUGUGACUGCGUACCUUUUGUAUAAUGGGUCAGCGACUUAUAUUCUGUAGCAAGGUUAACCGAAUAGGGGAGCCGAAGGGAAACCGAGUCUUAACUGGGCGUUAAGUUGCAGGGUAUAGACCCGAAACCCGGUGAUCUAGCCAUGGGCAGGUUGAAGGUUGGGUAACACUAACUGGAGGACCGAACCGACUAAUGUUGAAAAAUUAGCGGAUGACUUGUGGCUGGGGGUGAAAGGCCAAUCAAACCGGGAGAUAGCUGGUUCUCCCCGAAAGCUAUUUAGGUAGCGCCUCGUGAAUUCAUCUCCGGGGGUAGAGCACUGUUUCGGCAAGGGGGUCAUCCCGACUUACCAACCCGAUGCAAACUGCGAAUACCGGAGAAUGUUAUCACGGGAGACACACGGCGGGUGCUAACGUCCGUCGUGAAGAGGGAAACAACCCAGACCGCCAGCUAAGGUCCCAAAGUCAUGGUUAAGUGGGAAACGAUGUGGGAAGGCCCAGACAGCCAGGAUGUUGGCUUAGAAGCAGCCAUCAUUUAAAGAAAGCGUAAUAGCUCACUGGUCGAGUCGGCCUGCGCGGAAGAUGUAACGGGGCUAAACCAUGCACCGAAGCUGCGGCAGCGACACUAUGUGUUGUUGGGUAGGGGAGCGUUCUGUAAGCCUGUGAAGGUGUACUGUGAGGUAUGCUGGAGGUAUCAGAAGUGCGAAUGCUGACAUAAGUAACGAUAAAGCGGGUGAAAAGCCCGCUCGCCGGAAGACCAAGGGUUCCUGUCCAACGUUAAUCGGGGCAGGGUGAGUCGACCCCUAAGGCGAGGCCGAAAGGCGUAGUCGAUGGGAAACAGGUUAAUAUUCCUGUACUUGGUGUUACUGCGAAGGGGGGACGGAGAAGGCUAUGUUGGCCGGGCGACGGUUGUCCCGGUUUAAGCGUGUAGGCUGGUUUUCCAGGCAAAUCCGGAAAAUCAAGGCUGAGGCGUGAUGACGAGGCACUACGGUGCUGAAGCAACAAAUGCCCUGCUUCCAGGAAAAGCCUCUAAGCAUCAGGUAACAUCAAAUCGUACCCCAAACCGACACAGGUGGUCAGGUAGAGAAUACCAAGGCGCUUGAGAGAACUCGGGUGAAGGAACUAGGCAAAAUGGUGCCGUAACUUCGGGAGAAGGCACGCUGAUAUGUAGGUGAAGUCCCUCGCGGAUGGAGCUGAAAUCAGUCGAAGAUACCAGCUGGCUGCAACUGUUUAUUAAAAACACAGCACUGUGCAAACACGAAAGUGGACGUAUACGGUGUGACGCCUGCCCGGUGCCGGAAGGUUAAUUGAUGGGGUUAGCGCAAGCGAAGCUCUUGAUCGAAGCCCCGGUAAACGGCGGCCGUAACUAUAACGGUCCUAAGGUAGCGAAAUUCCUUGUCGGGUAAGUUCCGACCUGCACGAAUGGCGUAAUGAUGGCCAGGCUGUCUCCACCCGAGACUCAGUGAAAUUGAACUCGCUGUGAAGAUGCAGUGUACCCGCGGCAAGACGGAAAGACCCCGUGAACCUUUACUAUAGCUUGACACUGAACAUUGAGCCUUGAUGUGUAGGAUAGGUGGGAGGCUUUGAAGUGUGGACGCCAGUCUGCAUGGAGCCGACCUUGAAAUACCACCCUUUAAUGUUUGAUGUUCUAACGUUGACCCGUGAUCCGGGUUGCGGACAGUGUCUGGUGGGUAGUUUGACUGGGGCGGUCUCCUCCUAAAGAGUAACGGAGGAGCACGAAGGUUGGCUAAUCCUGGUCGGACAUCAGGAGGUUAGUGCAAUGGCAUAAGCCAGCUUGACUGCGAGCGUGACGGCGCGAGCAGGUGCGAAAGCAGGUCAUAGUGAUCCGGUGGUUCUGAAUGGAAGGGCCAUCGCUCAACGGAUAAAAGGUACUCCGGGGAUAACAGGCUGAUACCGCCCAAGAGUUCAUAUCGACGGCGGUGUUUGGCACCUCGAUGUCGGCUCAUCACAUCCUGGGGCUGAAGUAGGUCCCAAGGGUAUGGCUGUUCGCCAUUUAAAGUGGUACGCGAGCUGGGUUUAGAACGUCGUGAGACAGUUCGGUCCCUAUCUGCCGUGGGCGCUGGAGAACUGAGGGGGGCUGCUCCUAGUACGAGAGGACCGGAGUGGACGCAUCACUGGUGUUCGGGUUGUCAUGCCAAUGGCACUGCCCGGUAGCUAAAUGCGGAAGAGAUAAGUGCUGAAAGCAUCUAAGCACGAAACUUGCCCCGAGAUGAGUUCUCCCUGACUCCUUGAGAGUCCUGAAGGAACGUUGAAGACGACGACGUUGAUAGGCCGGGUGUGUAAGCGCAGCGAUGCGUUGAGCUAACCGGUACUAAUGAACCGUGAGGCUUAACCUUACAACGCCGAAGGUGUUU